This 468-nucleotide ribosomal RNA is filed under the name uncultured bacterium. RNAcentral's name for it is "partial 16S ribosomal RNA". It matches the Rfam family "Bacterial small subunit ribosomal RNA", at positions 28 to 507 of the family's 1533-position model. The record is from RNAcentral.
GACGAACGCUGGCGGCGUGCUUAACACAUGCAAGUCGAACGGAAAGGCCCUGCUUUUGUGGGGUGCUCGAGUGGCGAACGGGUGAGUAACACGUGAGUAACCUGCCCUUGACUUUGGGAUAACUUCAGUAAACUGGGGCUAAUACCGGAUAGGAGCUCAUGCUGCAUGGUGGGGGUUGGAAAGUUUCGGCGGUUGGGGAUGGACUCGCGGCUUAUCAGCUUGUUGGUGGGGUAGUGGCUUACCAAGGCUUUGACGGGUAGCCGGCCUGAGAGGGUGACCGGCCACAUUGGGACUGAGAUACGGCCCAGACGCCUACGGGAGGAAGCAGUGGGGAAUAUUGCACAAUGGGCGGAAGCCUGAUGCAGCAACGCCGCGGGCGGGAUGACGGCCUUCGGGGUGUAAACCGCUUUCGCCUGUGACGAAGCGUGAGUGACGGUAAUGGGUAAAGAAGCACCGGCUAACUACGUG